GCCUUCUUAGCUCAACGGUAGAGCACUUCGCCGUUAACGAAUAAGUUAGUGGUUCGAAUCCAUUAGAGGGCG
Molecule: transfer RNA, 72 nt
Filed under: Patescibacteria group bacterium
Lineage: Bacteria
Description: tRNA-Asn
Rfam family: tRNA
About the family: Transfer RNA (tRNA) molecules are approximately 80 nucleotides in length. Their secondary structure includes four short double-helical elements and three loops (D, anti-codon, and T loops).
Source: RNAcentral